AUUGAACGCUGGCGGCAGGCUUAACACAUGCAAGUCGAGCGGAGAUGAGGUGCUUGCACCUUAUCUUAGCGGCGGACGGGUGAGUAAUGCUUAGGAAUCUGCCUAUUAGUGGGGGACAACAUUCCGAAAGGAAUGCUAAUACCGCAUACGUCCUACGGGAGAAAGCAGGGGAUCUUCGGACCUUGCGCUAAUAGAUGAGCCUAAGUCGGAUUAGCUAGUUGGUGGGGUAAAGGCCUACCAAGGCGACGAUCUGUAGCGGGUCUGAGAGGAUGAUCCGCCACACUGGGACUGAGACACGGCCCAGACUCCUACGGGAGGCAGCAGUGGGGAAUAUUGGACAAUGGGGGAAACCCUGAUCCAGCCAUGCCGCGUGUGUGAAGAAGGCCUUAUGGUUGUAAAGCACUUUAAGCGAGGAGGAGGCUACUGAGACUAAUACCCUUGGAUAGUGGACGUUACUCGCAGAAUAAGCACCGGCUAACUCUGUGCCAGCCGCCGCUGUAA
RNAcentral lists this ribosomal RNA (501 nucleotides) under uncultured bacterium. RNAcentral's name for it is "partial 16S ribosomal RNA". It matches the Rfam family "Bacterial small subunit ribosomal RNA", at positions 30 to 523 of the family's 1533-position model. The record is from RNAcentral.